UGGUCAAGUUAUUAAGGGUGCAGGGCGGAUGCCUUGGCACUAGGAGCCGAUGAAGGACGUGAUAAGCUGCGAUAAGCUUCGGGGAGUUGCACGUAAACUUUGAUCCGAAGAUUUCCGAAUGAGGAAACUCACUUAGAGUAAUGUCUAAGUAUCAUUAAGUAAAUACAUAGCUUAAUGAGGGGAACUCAGGGAACUGAAACAUCUAAGUACCUGAAGGAAGAGAAAGAAAUUCGAUUCCGUAAGUAGCGGCGAGCGAACGCGGAUUAGCCCAAACCAAUGAAGUUUUCUUUAUUGGGGUUGUGGACAUAUCAUAACGAAGAGGUAUCGUAAUUGAAGAGGUUUGGAAAGACCCACCACAGAAGGUAAUAGUCCUGUAUGUUAAACGAGAAGACUUUAGAUAUGAUCCAGAGUACCACGGGACACGUGAAACCCUGUGGGAAGCAGGAGGGACCACCCUCCAAGGCUAAAUACUACCUAGUGACCGAUAGCGUAUAGUACCGUGAGGGAAAGGUGAAAAGAACCCCGGGAGGGGAGUGAAAUAGAACCUGAAACCCUGCACUUACAAGCUGUGGAAGCACAUUUCUUGUGUGACCGCGUACUUUUUGUAGAACGGGCCAACGAGUUACGUUAAGUAGCAAGGUUAAGCACUUAAGGUGCGGAGCCGUAGCGAAAGCGAGUUUUAACUGAGCGUUCAGUUACUUGACGUAGACCCGAAACCGGGCGACCUACCCAUGAGCAGGAUGAAGCGAAAGUAAAAUUUCGUGGAGGUCCGAACCCACGAGCGUUGAAAAGCUCGGGGAUGACUUGUGGGUAGCGGUGAAAUUCCAAUCGAGCCCGGAGAUAGCUGGUUCUCCCCGAAAUAGCUUUAGGGCUAGCCUCAAGGUGAGAGAUACGGAGGUAGAGCACUGAAUGUCCUAGGGGGUAUUGCACCUACCGAAGACUAUCAAACUCCGAAUGCCGUCAUCUUAUACUUGGGAGUCAGACUGUGGGUGAUAAGAUUCAUAGUCGAAAGGGCAACAGCCCAGAUCGUCAGCUAAGGUCCCUAAAUGUAAGUUAAGUGGUAAAGGAUGUGGGAUUGCACAGACAACCAGGAUGUUGGCUUAGAAGCAGCCACUCAUUCAAAGAGUGCGUAAUAGCUCACUGGUCGAGUGAUCCUGCGCCGAAGAUUUCCGGGGCUAAAACUUACUACCGAAGCUACGGCAUCAGUAAUGAUGGGUAGGGGAGCUUCCCAUACGGGUUGAAGCAUGACCGUAAGGACAUGUGGACAGUAUGGGAGUGAGAAUGUUGGCAUGAGUAGCGAGAUGUGGGUGAGAAUCCCACAGGCCGUAAACCCAAGGUUUCCAGGGGAAGGUUCGUCCGCCCUGGGUUAGUCGGGACCUAAGCUGAGGCCGAAAGGCGUAGGUGAUGGACAACAGGUUGAUAUUCCUGUACUACCGAUAACCGUUUGAGAGAAGGGAUGACACAGUAGGAUAAGCUAAGCACACUGUUGGUUAUGUGUGCCCAAGCAUUGAGGCAGUCAAAGUAGGCAAAUCCGCUUUGAUAAUGCUGGGAUGUGAUGGGGAGCGAAAUUUAGUAGCGAAGUAGCUGAUUUCACACUGUCAAGAAAAGUCUCUAUCGAGGUUAAAGGUACCCGUACCGCAAACCGACACAGGUGGGUGAGGAGAGUAUCCUAAGGCCAGCGAGAGAACUGUUGUUAAGGAACUCGGCAAAAUGACCCCGUAACUUAGGGAUAAGGGGUGCCACCAUCAGGUGGCCGCAGAGAAUAGGCCCAAGCGACUGUUUACCAAAAACAUAGGUUUCUGCUAAGUCGCAAGACGAUGUAUAGGAGCUGACGCCUGCCCGGUGCUGGAAGGUUAAGGGGAUCUGUUAGAGCAAUCGAAGCAGUGAACUUAAGCCCCAGUAAACGGCGGCCGUAACUAUAACGGUCCUAAGGUAGCGAAAUUCCUUGUCGGGUAAGUUCCGACCCGCACGAAAGGCGUAACGAUUUGGGCACUGUCUCAACAACAGACUCGGUGAAAUUGUAAUUCCGGUGAAGAUGCCGGAUACCUGCGACAGGACGGAAAGACCCCAUGGAGCUUUACUGUAGCUUGACAUUGGGUCUUGGUACUACAUGUACAGGAUAGGUGGGAGGCUUUGAAACCAGGACGCCAGUUUUGGCGGAGCCAUCCUUGGGAUACCACCCUUGUAGUACUGGGACUCUAACCAUAGGCCAUGAAUCUGGUCUUGGGACACUGUCAGGUGGGCAGUUUGACUGGGGCGGUCGCCUCCCAAAAGGUAACGGAGGCGCUCAAAGGUUCUCUCAGUACGGUCGGAAAUCGUACGUAGAGUGUAAAGGCAAAAGAGAGCUUGAUUGCAAGACAUACAGGUCGAGCAAGGAUGAAAAUCGGACUUAGUGAUCCGGUGGUUCUGCGUGGAAGGGCCAUCGCUCAACGGAUAAAAGCUACCCUGGGGAUAACAGGCUUAUCUCCCCCAAGAGUCCACAUCGACGGGGAGGUUUGGCACCUCGAUGUCGGCUCAUCACAUCCUGGGGCUGUAGUAGGUCCCAAGGGUUGGGCUGUUCGCCCAUUAAAGUGGUACGCGAGCUGGGUUCAGAACGUCGUGAGACAGUUCGGUCCCUAUCCGUCGCAGGCGUAGGAAAUUUGAGAAGACCUGUCCUUAGUACGAGAGGACCGGGAUGGACGUACCUCUGGUGUACCAGUUGUCCUGCCAAGGGCAUGGCUGGGUAGCUAUGUACGGAAUGGAUAAGCGCUGAAAGCAUCUAAGCGCGAAGCCAACUUCAAGAUAAGAUUUCCCACCGCAAGGGUAAGACCCCAGAAAGACUAUCUGGUUGAUAGGUCGAAGGUGUAAGUGCAGCAAUGUAUUUAGCUUAUCGAUACUAAUAGGUCGAGGACUUGACCAAU
RNAcentral lists this ribosomal RNA (2900 nucleotides) under Clostridioides difficile. RNAcentral's name for it is "23S ribosomal RNA". It matches the Rfam family "Bacterial large subunit ribosomal RNA". Lineage: Bacteria; Bacillati; Bacillota; Clostridia; Peptostreptococcales; Peptostreptococcaceae. The record is from RNAcentral.